This 240-nucleotide unclassified non-coding RNA is filed under the name soil metagenome. RNAcentral's name for it is "partial contains 5.8S ribosomal RNA, internal transcribed spacer 2, and large subunit ribosomal RNA". The record is from RNAcentral.
AACGGUCUAUACCUGCGGUACCUGCGGAGGGAUCAUUACAGAGUUCGCGCCCCCCCGGGGCAGACCUCCCACCCACUGUUAUCACUGCCAGCGUUGCUUUGGCGGGCCGCCGGGACCCCCGGCCGCCGGCUCCGGCCGGCGCGCGCCCGCCAGAGGCCCGCCAGACCCUGGAUAUUGGCGUCGUCUGAGCGCUAUUCAAUAGCUAAAAACUUUCAACAACGGAUCUCUAGAUCGGAAGAG